Molecule: ribosomal RNA, 743 nt
Filed under: uncultured bacterium
Lineage: Bacteria
Description: bacterial SSU rRNA
Rfam family: Bacterial small subunit ribosomal RNA
Source: RNAcentral
AGCGGCGGAUGGGUGAGUAACACGUGGGGAACCUGCCCCUAAGUCUGGGAUACCAUUUGGAAACAGGUGCUAAUACCGGAUAAUAAAGCAGAUCGCAUGAUCAGCUUUUGAAAGGCGGCGUAAGCUGUCGCUAAGGGAUGGCCCCGCGGUGCAUUAGCUAGUUGGUAAGGUAACGGCUUACCAAGGCGACGAUGCAUAGCCGAGUUGAGAGACUGAUCGGCCACAUUGGGACUGAGACACGGCCCAAACUCCUACGGGAGGCAGCAGUAGGGAAUCUUCCACAAUGGACGCAAGUCUGAUGGAGCAACGCCGCGUGAGUGAAGAAGGUUUUCUGAUCGUAAAGCUCUGUUAUUGGUGAAGAAGGAUAGAGGUAGUAACUGGCCUUUAUUUGACGGUAAUCAACCAGAAAGUCACGGCUAACUACGUGCCUGCAGCCGCGGUAAUACGUAGGUGGCAAGCGUUGUCCGGAUUUAUUGGGCGUAAAGCGAGCGCAGGCGGAAAAAUAAGUCUAAUGUGAAAGCCCUCGGCUUAACCGAGGAACUGCAUCGGAAACUGUUUUUCUUGAGUGCAGAAGAGGAGAGUGGAACUCCAUGUGUAGCGGUGGAAUGCGUAGAUAUAUGGAAGAACACCAGUGGCGAAGGCGGCUCUCUGGUCUGCAACUGACGCUGAGGCUCGAAAGUAUGGGUAGCGAACAGGAUUAGAUACCCUGGUAGUCCAUGCCGUAAACGAUGAGUGCUAAGUGU